Molecule: transfer RNA, 92 nt
Filed under: Deinococcus wulumuqiensis
Lineage: Bacteria; Thermotogati; Deinococcota; Deinococci; Deinococcales; Deinococcaceae
Description: tRNA-Glu
Source: RNAcentral
AGCGACUGGAGAAGGCAUUCAAGGCUUUCUUUCGCAGAGUCAAGGCAGGCCAGACACCGGGCUAUCCACGCUUCAAAGGCGCGGGUUGGUAC